RNAcentral lists this ribosomal RNA (330 nucleotides) under Triticum aestivum (bread wheat). RNAcentral's name for it is "partial small subunit ribosomal RNA". The record is from RNAcentral. Lineage: Eukaryota; Viridiplantae; Streptophyta; Magnoliopsida; Poales; Poaceae.
AUGGAGAAGGUUUGCUUGCCAGUGGCUGCAGCUGCCAUGGUUCUGCUCCUGAUGGUGGCGACGGCCCAGGGCAUCAGGCUGGACGCCGGGAGCAAGGCGGCCCUCGGCAACCCGGUGCUCAAUAAAUCCAUGGAGAAAGGGGUGAUGAUCAAGGCUGAUGGUGCUGAGCCGAAAGGGGUGAUGAUCAAGGCUGAUGGUGCUGAGCCAUUUUCAGGUGAUGAAGUGGAGGAGGCCAUCUCUGAAGAUAAAGAGAGGGCAGGGGGGCACAGGAUGCCUGAGAUCCAUGUGGACUACUAUGGCCCCAGGGGCCAUAACGCCAGGCACCACUGA